Etheostoma spectabile (orangethroat darter) is the source of this 92-nucleotide long non-coding RNA. RefSeq lists it as uncharacterized. The transcript is spliced from 3 exons. The record is from RefSeq and is a predicted model, not a curated record. NCBI's taxonomy places the organism in Eukaryota, Metazoa, Chordata, Actinopteri, Perciformes, Percidae.
AAAGGUAAAGUAUGCUCAAAAAAUAUGGUGAAAGCAUAAUAAGGUAAACUCAAGCCCAUCAACCAACAACAGAUGGGCAGUUAUAACCACAU